UCGGAGAGAGCGGCGGACGGGUGAGUAACGCGUGGGUAACCUGCCCUGUACACACGGAUAACAUACCGAAAGGUAUACUAAUACGGGAUAACAUACGAAAGUCGCAUGGCUUUUGUAUCAAAGCUCCGGCGGUACAGGAUGGACCCGCGUCUGAUUAGCUAGUUGGUAAGGUAAUGGCUUACCAAGGCAACGAUCAGUAGCCGACCUGAGAGGGUGAUCGGCCACACUGGAACUGAGACACGGUCCAGACUCCUACGGGAGGCAGCAGUGGGGAAUAUUGCACAAUGGGCGAAAGCCUGAUGCAGCAACGCCGCGUGAGCGAUGAAGGCCUUCGGGUCGUAAAGCUCUGUCCUCAAGGAAGAUAAUGACGGUACUUGAGGAGGAAGCCCCGGCUAACUACGUGCCAGCAGCCGCGGUAAUACGUAGGGGGCUAGCGUUAUCCGGAAUUACUGGGCGUAAAGGGUGCGUAGGUGGUUUUUUAAGUCAGAAGUGAAAGGCUAUNGCUCAACCGUAGUAAGCUUUUGAAACUAGAGAACUUGAGUGCAGGAGAGGAGAGUAGAAUUCCUAGUGUAGCGGUGAAAUGCGUAGAUAUUAGGAGGAAUACCAGUAGCGAAGGCGGCUCUCUGGACUGUAACUGACACUGAGGCACGAAAGCGUGGGGAGCAAACAGGAUUAGAUACGCUGGUAGUCCACGCCGUAAACGAUGAGUACUAGGUGUCGGGGGUUACCCCCCUCGGUGCCGCAGCUAACGCAUUAAGUACUCCGCCUGGGAAGUACGCUCGCAAGAGUGAAACUCAAAGGAAUUGACGGGGACCCGCACAAGUAGCGGAGCAUGUGGUUUAAUUUCGAAGCAACGCGAAGAACGCUACCUAAGCUUGACAUCCCCACUGACCUCUCCCUAAUCGGAGAUUUUCCCUUUCGGGGACAGUGGUGACAGGGUGGGUGCAUGG
This 950-nucleotide ribosomal RNA is filed under the name Paraclostridium bifermentans. RNAcentral describes it as "bacterial SSU rRNA". It matches the Rfam family "Bacterial small subunit ribosomal RNA", at positions 86 to 1048 of the family's 1533-position model. Lineage: Bacteria; Bacillati; Bacillota; Clostridia; Peptostreptococcales; Peptostreptococcaceae. The record is from RNAcentral.